GUUCUGUUUUACAAAUGCUAGAAUUGCUUACAAAUGAACAGUUUAGUAACUGCCAGUAGAUUUAGGAGGAAGAAAAUAGUAUUGAGAGAACGAUUAAAUUUUAUUGAAUGAAUAAAAUGUAAAAGAAGAAGCUAUACAUUGUUGUCACAGCCUCACAGGUCUCACUAAUCUCUUCUAGAUUAGCUGCCAUUUAACUAACUUGCUAACCGAAGCGAAGA
RNAcentral lists this unclassified non-coding RNA (218 nucleotides) under Hevea brasiliensis (rubber tree). Lineage: Eukaryota; Viridiplantae; Streptophyta; Magnoliopsida; Malpighiales; Euphorbiaceae. The record is from RNAcentral.